UACGGAGGGUGCAAGCGUUCUCCGGAUUUAUUGGGUCUAACGGGUGCGUAGGCGGCCCGUUAAGUCAGCGGUGAAAUCCCACGGCUCACCCGUGGAACUGCCGUUGAUACUGGCGGGCUUGAGUUCGGUCGAGGCGGGCGGAACUGGUGGUGUAGCGGUGAAAUGCUUAGAUACCGCCAAGAACCCCGAUUGCGAGGGCAGCUCGCUGGGCCGAAACUGACGCUGAGGCACGAAAGCGUGGGGAGCGAACAGG
RNAcentral lists this unclassified non-coding RNA (253 nucleotides) under uncultured Hymenobacteraceae bacterium. Its description in RNAcentral is "contains 16S-23S intergenic spacer region". It matches the Rfam family "Bacterial small subunit ribosomal RNA", at positions 524 to 776 of the family's 1533-position model. The record is from RNAcentral. Lineage: Bacteria; Pseudomonadati; Bacteroidota; Cytophagia; Cytophagales; Hymenobacteraceae.